AUUGAACGCUGGCGGAAUGCUUUACACAUGCAAGUCGAACGGCAGCACGGGGGCAACCCUGGUGGCGAGUGGCGAACGGGUGAGUAAUACAUCGGAACGUGCCCGGUCGUGGGGGAUAACGUCGCGAAAGUUACGCUAAUACCGCAUACGAUCUGAGGAUGAAAGCGGGGGACCUUCGGGACUCGCGCGAUCGGAGCGGCCGACGUCAGACUAGGUAGUUGGUGGGGUAAAGGCCUACCAAGCCGACGAUCUGUAGCUGGUCUGAUAGGACGACCAGCCACACUGGGACUGGGACACGGCCCAGACUCCUACGGGAGGCAGCAGUGGGGAAUUUUGGACAAUGGGCGCAAGCCUGAUCCAGCCAUUCCGCGUGCAGGACGAAGGCCUUCGGGUUGUAAACUGCUUUUGUAUGGAACGAAAAGGCUCUGGCUAAUACCUGGGGCUCAUGACGGUACCGUAAGAAUAAGCACCGGCUAACUACGUG
This 484-nucleotide ribosomal RNA is filed under the name uncultured bacterium. Its description in RNAcentral is "partial 16S ribosomal RNA". It matches the Rfam family "Bacterial small subunit ribosomal RNA", at positions 30 to 507 of the family's 1533-position model. The record is from RNAcentral.